This 136-nucleotide microRNA precursor is filed under the name Gossypium arboreum. RNAcentral's name for it is "MIR7502 microRNA precursor family". It matches the Rfam family "MIR7502 microRNA precursor family". The record is from Rfam by way of RNAcentral. Lineage: Eukaryota; Viridiplantae; Streptophyta; Magnoliopsida; Malvales; Malvaceae.
UAUUAAAAAUUUUAUCCAUUUCUACUAAAAAAUUAGAGUGGCUGAUAGAAUAACUAGACAAUUAGACAUGGUGCGUACCUCAUGCUAGAACACAUAGGCUAGUUUUUAAUAGAAAAAAUGGAUGAAAUUUAUAAUA